Molecule: long non-coding RNA, 694 nt
Filed under: Brachypodium distachyon (stiff brome)
Lineage: Eukaryota; Viridiplantae; Streptophyta; Magnoliopsida; Poales; Poaceae
Description: long non-coding RNA (BDIS_LNC005740)
Source: RNAcentral
GCGCUCCUCUUAACAGUAGACUCAUAUUACUGUUUUUGAUUUUCUGUAAUUUUUAUAAUUUUUUUUGAAAAGUUUGAACUUUGGGCCAAAUUGAUUUUUUGAACCUUUAUGACGUCUGGAAGACUCGAACGUACUGCUAAACUUUGUAAAUAGAUGUAUUAUGGUAUAUACUGUUGUACAUGCUGAAGUACAUGUAUUUUAUGAACAAUUAUUGGUCUUAAGUGGACAGAAUGACAUUGAUAGAGGUAUAAGAAAGUUAGAGUGGCAUUUCUCCAAGUCAAGUUUUUGCAAUGGCAUAUUUUCAACCGAUGAAAUAGAGAGUGGCAUAUAUCCAAUUAACUCAUUAUAAAAUCUAGUGAUCUUGGUUUGACACUAUAUAUGUUACGGAGUAAUAUUUUUAUUAUAAUUUAGUCAAAUUUUAUAAAGUUUGAUUAUGAGUAAAAUUUAUAUGACUUGUGGAAUAAUUUUUUUUAGCAGAGAUGUACCAGUACAUCUAAUCUAACAGAUUAUAGAUGCUUUUCAGGAAUAUUCGCACGUGCAUAUUGAACCCUCAGAACCAAAUCUGUUUGUGGGUUAACGUGAGGUCGAGAGCGAACGAGGCCAGGCUCACUCUGCAGUCUGCACUUUGGAUUCAUCUUCAUGCUGGCCUGGAAGCAAGUACUUCACGGCCCUGUGGUGGCCGCGCCACUGCAAA